Canis lupus familiaris (dog) is the source of this 3512-nucleotide long non-coding RNA. RefSeq lists it as uncharacterized. The record is from RefSeq and is a predicted model, not a curated record. The transcript is spliced from 5 exons. Lineage: Eukaryota; Metazoa; Chordata; Mammalia; Carnivora; Canidae.
CCCUGGCCUUGACCUAGGGGCCGGGCCGGGCCGGGGCGGGGCGCGUGCAUUCGCGGGUCUCAGGCCUGCGCCGAGCACCGAGCACCGUGUGCUGAGAAUGAUCCUAAACCGCAGGCUUUCUUGUAAAUCUCGUGUGGUCCACUGGUGCACCGAGAAUGCUUCUGCUUGCUUUCGCUGGACUCUUGCACCCGCCGCCAGCCUGUGCUUGAAAUCCCCCCGGUGAUUGUCCAGAACGGAGUUGCUUCCCAGCCUCCCACAUUAAAUGUCAUAAACUUGGAUUAAACGUAAUAGGUGAUACGAGGGAUCCCUGGGUGGCGCAGCGGUUUGGCGCCUGCCUUUGGCCCAGGGCGCGAUCCUGGAGACCCGGGAUCGAAUCCCACAUCGGGCUCCCGGUGCAUGGAGCCUGCUUCUCCCUCUGCCUGUGUCUCUGCCUCUCUCUCUCUGUGACUAUCGUAAAAAAAAAAAAAAAAAAAAAAAAAAAAAAAAAAAUGCAAUAGGUGAUACGAACACGGUUGAGGUUGCAUUAAGUAAGAAGUGAAGCCCAAAAGACCCUGGAAUUUCAUCAGUGGUACGAGCAUCUUCUUGAUGAUGGUUUACAAAUACUAUUCUUCCUCAAUGUGUUGUGCUGUUUACAAUAGAAAGGCUACAGGCUUGACACAAAGUUUAGUUUAACUACAUUGUUAACUUUCUCUAUUACUUCCUAAAGUCUAGACAGAGGGGUUAGCAAGUGUUUUCCACAAAGGGUCAGAGGGCCAAAAUAUUUUAGGCUUUGCCAGAUACACAUAAUCUGUCACAUAUUCUGUUUUGUUUUGUUUAACACCCUUUUCAACCUUCAGGCUCUGAACUAUAUAGAAUUUUCAGAUGGAUGAGUUCAGGCUACCAAGGUGGAGUGUCUGAGCGCGGGGUUGGGAACGCUGUUUCCAGCAUGUGGAUCCAAUAGAGCGAAGCCCACAGAAUUUAUCAUUUCGUACUCGUGAGCCAGCUGCAGCUCAGCACUGGUCUUACCUCUAAGGGAAGGUGACAGUGGGUAUGGCGGUUGGUGAUCGAUGUUCACUUCACCUGGGUUCCACUUGGCCAUACCCCAAGGUCACCCCCAAUGAGUCAACAGCCUCCUGGAUGGUGGACUUCUCGCCCAUCAUGCUCAUGUUCCCGUGAUGACUGGAGACAGCCUCUCCUGCUGGCCUUGCAGGAGCAAACAGCCAAGUUAACUGCCCCUGGAUAGUGCCACGUGGUAGGGGACUGUGGGCAGUCAGCCUCCAGGACCCGAGGGUGGCCUCCAGCCAGAUACCAGGAAGAAGCUAUGGCCCUUGGCCAUGUAGUCACAGGGAAACACAUCUGCCAGCAUCCUGAAUGAGCUUGAAAGUGUAGCACCUCCAGAUGAGAACAGAGCUCAACCUACACCUGGAUUACAGCCACAGGAGACCCUGAGGGGAUGAUAGAGACCCAGCUAAAGCCAAGGGCCAACUCCUGCCCUAUGGAAGCUGAGAUGCCACGGGAGGGGGUGAGCUGUGGCGGCCGUGGGGCUUCCAGGCUGCCACAGGAUGAGAGCGGAGCUGGCCUCAUUGUUGACUGAGGGAGCUGGAGCCAUGGGGUUGAGCUACUCCGAAAUUCCAUCUACAUCCAGAUCCCAAUCAUGUGGACUGAGACAUUUCCGUGUUGUUUAAACUAUUGACGCUCCCAUCCUGCCUGGCACUCAGCAGCUGUGAGGAGAAGGAGUCUGGGCUCUGAGGAAGGGAAACGUCCCCACUGCCCCUCACUGUAAUGUGACUAGGACUACCUGUGGAUGCCCCCCAUCCAGCCUCAGGGACACAUGCACCGGAGGAAAGUUCAAGCUGGUGUGGGACCCGCUUGGACCAUGGUUUCUGGGCCUGGGCCUCCUGGCUGUUGCUUGGCUUCCUGCUUUAACUCUGCUAUGCCUCGUCCCCUUCUUCCCACAUCCCAAGCAAUCCCUAGAUUCUGUUGUGGUUCUAGGAGCCUUGUCCCUGAUCACAGGCCUGUAUUCUGUUUCCUGCCACAGAGACCUGGAGGUCCGGCCGCCUCAGCACCUCCAUGGAGGGGCCCUCUCACCCCUCCCCCAGGACUACACGUCCUCAGCGCUACCCCUGGAGCCUUUGCUCUUCUCUUGCCUGUGGAAUCGCACAAAAGAGAACAGGGUCCCUGGGCCCCAGCCUGGCCUCCCACUUUGCCAGCCAGACUUGAGGGCCCGCCCCAGAGGAAAAAGCUCCUGCUAAUCACACUGCCCAGUAUGCAGAUAGAUGAAUCUUCCCAGACCAGCACGGGUCUCAAGGUUGGCCUAGCAGUGACGAAACUGAGCAGGCCGAUGACUGGACUCCCAGCCCGCAGCCCGCCUCGGCUUUAUCGGCCGUGUUUUGCCGAACAAAGGCCCUGCCGGCCCUGGGAGCUCAUGCUGCCACUCCAUUGAAAUCCCGAGGUGGUUCCCUAUUAAUCACUCCCUUAUGGUGCCUCAGAGGCCAAAAGGAGUCAAACAAAACCUCUCUGCUAAGCAGGAAGAGCUUUGCAGAGGCCUGAGCAGCAAGAUUCCUCAACCGUUCUCCAGUUUAACACUAACAAGAUGCUGGGGCCUCCCGGACUCACACAAACAAACCGGAAUCGCUGCCUGGCUGCUGGAGGGGGACUUGGAAUGUGACUGGCUCCUCCUGUGCUCCAAAGGCUCCAUGUAGGAGGCAGGGCCGGUGAGGGAGCUAUCAAGCCUGCACGCAGCCCCUUCCUUAUUUUAAAACCUAAAAAGACCCAAUUAAAUGAUUUUUUUUUUAAGCAGACACAUACUAGGAAGACAGAAGAAAAAUAUUUUCAUUUCUCUCCCUUCUCUGGUGUGACCUUGACUCUCAACUCCUCUGUCUGUCUUUUCUUCUAAUGUCACCAUCCUGCAUGAACUGAUAAUAUUGCAUUAUUCAUUAUUCUAUAAAUAUGAAGUUUGGCUUCUCUUUUUAUUAAUUUUUUAAAGAUUUUAUUUAUUUGACAGAGUGUGCACAAGCAGGGGGGUGGGGGCAGAGGGAGAGGGAGAAGCAAGCUCCCCACUGAGCAGGGAGCCCAAUUCAGGACUCGAUCCCAGGACUCUGGGAUCAUGACCUGAGCCGAAGGCAGACUCUUUACUGACUGAGCCACCCAGGCACAUCUGGCUUCUCUUUUUAAACAGACACACCAAGGCCAAACACUGAGCCAUCAUUCACCAAGACAAGUCUUCAUUUCCCAAGGAGCAGACCUGUUAUCUGUGGGCCAGCAUUUGGAUCGUCCUGCUGCAGAGAGAAAUGGCUUUUCUGUACAGAUGCUGUGGCCUCUAUCAGAGGAUAGUCCUAGAUUUUUAUGCCUCUGAAUGAAAGCACAUUCUUUUUCAUAAAAAUUUAAUUAAAAAAAGAAGGAAGGGGAAAAAAAAAAGCUGGCUCAAAGAACACUUGUGUGCCAUCCGUUCACAUGAGGGCAGAAGUCUAUCCAAGACAAAUGCAUCAUAUUAGCUUGGAAAAUCAGAUGAUUAAUAAAGAUACAACAAUUCA